AUGCUGCUCGCUGUUCGCCACAGCGUCGCGCUCCCCAGCACACACACAACCGUCAAGAUCUUCGACGUGGAUCUCGACCGCCGGCAGUUGACCCCGGUGAGCAACAUUGGCGAUCGCGCGCUGUUCCUCGGUAAGGACAGAUGCCUGUCCGUCUCGGCCAAACACCUGUUGUCCAUCAGAGAAAACUCAGUUUACAAAUCUGAAGGUUGCGCCUCCCACCACAUCUAG
RNAcentral lists this ribosomal RNA (228 nucleotides) under Triticum aestivum (bread wheat). RNAcentral describes it as "partial small subunit ribosomal RNA". The record is from RNAcentral. Lineage: Eukaryota; Viridiplantae; Streptophyta; Magnoliopsida; Poales; Poaceae.